UACGAAGGGGGCUAGCGUUGUUCGGAAUUACUGGGCGUAAAGCGCACGUAGGCGGAUACUUAAGUUAGGGGUGAAAUCCCAGAGCUCAACUCUGGAACUGCCUUUAAUACUGGGUAUCUCGAGUCCGAGAGAGGUGAGUGGAAUUCCGAGUGUAGAGGUGAAAUUCGUAGAUAUUCGGAGGAACACCAGUGGCGAAGGCGGCUCACUGGCUCGGUACUGACGCUGAGGUGCGAAAGCUAGGGUAGCGAACGGG
This 253-nucleotide ribosomal RNA is filed under the name uncultured bacterium. Its description in RNAcentral is "partial 16S ribosomal RNA". It matches the Rfam family "Bacterial small subunit ribosomal RNA", at positions 524 to 776 of the family's 1533-position model. The record is from RNAcentral.